Octodon degus (degu) is the source of this 121-nucleotide small nuclear RNA. RefSeq annotates it as U5 spliceosomal RNA. The record is from RefSeq and is a predicted model, not a curated record. Lineage: Eukaryota; Metazoa; Chordata; Mammalia; Rodentia; Octodontidae. The transcript has a single exon.
AUACUCUGGUUUCUCUUCAGACUGUUUAAAUCUUUUGCCUUUUACUAAAGAUUUUCUUGGAGAGGAACAAUUCUGUAUAUGGUUAGAUUCCUAAAUUUCUGCGUAAAAAAUUUCUUUCCUC